Molecule: small nuclear RNA, 189 nt
Organism: Suricata suricatta (meerkat)
Lineage: Eukaryota; Metazoa; Chordata; Mammalia; Carnivora; Herpestidae
Gene: U2
Rfam family: U2 spliceosomal RNA
About the family: U2 is a small nuclear RNA (snRNA) component of the spliceosome (involved in pre-mRNA splicing). Complementary binding between U2 snRNA (in an area lying towards the 5' end but 3' to hairpin I) and the branchpoint sequence (BPS) of the intron results the bulging out of an unpaired adenosine, on the BPS, which initiates a nucleophilic attack at the intronic 5' splice site, thus starting the first of two transesterification reactions that mediate splicing.
Source: Ensembl
AUCACUUCUCAGCCUUUUGGCUAAGAUCAAGUGUAGCACUUGAUCUUGGGGUCAUGAGUUCAAGGGCACUUUGGGUGUAGAGAUUACUUUAAAAAAAUGUAAAAUGGAGCAGCUGGGUGGUUCAUUUGGUUAAACAUCUGACUUUGGCUCAGGUCAUGAUCUCAUGGUUCAUGAGUUUGAGCACUGUGU